Arvicola amphibius (Eurasian water vole) is the source of this 473-nucleotide long non-coding RNA. RefSeq lists it as uncharacterized. The transcript is spliced from 2 exons. The record is from RefSeq and is a predicted model, not a curated record. NCBI's taxonomy places the organism in Eukaryota, Metazoa, Chordata, Mammalia, Rodentia, Cricetidae.
AGAACGUGUGUUCGACAUCUUGGCUUUGGCUUGACUGUCUCCUAUCAAGGUUCACAAGGCAGACGCUCAUAACGUACUUGAUGAUGCGAGAGCUCUAAGAGAUGAAGUCUCGUGUGAGGUCAUAUUUCAGAGUAAAAUCUUCUGCUCAGAGUUGAUAAAACUGGACAGUGAAUGGGAAGAGUGACAGAAAAGGAAAUGCUACAAAUUGUACUGGUGAAUGUGUUGAACUUGGAGAAGGAAGCAGCAUCUGUUCCAGAAAUAUCUACCAGUUAAGACCCAAGAAGUCAUAUAUACCUAAUCCUGCAGAUCACAUCCAUCCAACAGGAGGGGCUGAAAAGAAAAGGACAGUCUUCCAUCUGCUUGGCCAUCUGUUUCAGAAGACCUAUUCCUGAUUUAGUGCCAUUGGGUUUUUGUUGCUUUACAAAAUGAUCAGCAUCACCAAAGACCCCAAAUAAAAGCAUAUGAUAACAUCA